Molecule: ribosomal RNA, 460 nt
Filed under: uncultured bacterium
Lineage: Bacteria
Description: partial 16S ribosomal RNA
Rfam family: Bacterial small subunit ribosomal RNA
Source: RNAcentral
CCUACGGGGUGCUGCAGUGAGGAAUAUUGGUCAAUGGGCGCGAGCCUGAACCAGCCAAGUAGCGUGAAGGAUGAAUGCCCUACGGGUUGUAAACUUCUUUUAUAAAGGAAUAAAGUGAGGCACGUGUGUAUUUUUGUAUGUAAUUUAUGAAUAAGGAUCGGCUAACUCCGUGCCAGCAGCGGCGGUAAUACGGAGGAUUCGAGCGUUAUCCGGAUUUGGUGGGGUUAAAGGGAGCGUAGAUGGGUUGUUAAGUCAGUUGUGAAAGUUUGAGGCUCAACCGUAAAAUUGCAAUUGAUACUGUCAGCCUUGAGUACAGUUGAGGUAGGCGGAAUUCGUGGUGUAGCGGUGAAAUGCUUAGAUAUCACGAAGAACUCCGAUUGCGAAGGCAGCUUACUAAACUGCCACUGACAUUGAUGCUCGAAAGUGUGGGUAUCAAACAGGAUUAGAUACCCUAGUAGUC